This is a long non-coding RNA of Leopardus geoffroyi (Geoffroy's cat), 602 nucleotides long. RefSeq lists it as uncharacterized. The record is from RefSeq and is a predicted model, not a curated record. Lineage: Eukaryota; Metazoa; Chordata; Mammalia; Carnivora; Felidae. The transcript has 2 exons.
AUGCAGCACCUGACUCUCCAGGGCUCCUGCCCCGCCCUGAUGUCGUUGGUUGCCCCCAACAAGGAGUCGCAUCUACCCGUGGCGCCCACGGGAGUGGGGACAGUGGAGUCACGAGGUGAACGGACAUGCCCAAGGCCACACAGUUCCUAACGGUCUGAGCCAAAACUUGAAUGGCCAGCUAGUUCCAGGAAUCCCCUCUCCUCACCCAGUUACUUCUAGCCAGGUCCGCUCCGCCAGGAGCUUCAAUCCACCAGAGGCACUCAACUACAGAUAUCCCUCGCAUCGCCCUAGGGAAUGAUUCGUCCAGUGGGAGACCCGGCAGAAGGAAUCCGGAAUGUGGACUAACCCCGCGGGGCUGCCCCUGGAGACGAGGCCUGUGAUUGUCCAGGUCUGUCUGUGCCUGGAGGGUAAGUCAGGAGAAGGGGCGAGACCACUGUCCUCCGAGCCACACUCUCCACGACUCUAUCUGCCCGAUUCCUGUGCUACUGCUUAGCGGGUCCCAAACCAGCGUGGGGCGCAGAGCCCUAAAAUAAUACACGCACCUCUUUCUCUUGUUUGCAUCCACUCAAGGUGAGAUACCACGAAAUGCAACCGGAAGAAAU